RNAcentral lists this ribosomal RNA (495 nucleotides) under uncultured bacterium. RNAcentral describes it as "bacterial SSU rRNA". It matches the Rfam family "Bacterial small subunit ribosomal RNA", at positions 29 to 512 of the family's 1533-position model. The record is from RNAcentral.
AGUGAACGCUGGCGGCAGGCCUAAUACAUGCAAGUCGAACGGCAGCACAGCAGAGCUUGCUCUGUGGGUGGCGAGUGGCGGACGGGUGAGGAAUACAUGGGAAUCUGCCCAGUCGUGGGGGAUAACGUAUGGAAACGUACGCUAAUACCGCAUGCGCCCUACGGGGGAAAGCCGGGGACCGCAAGGCCUGGCGCGAUUGGAUGAGCCCAUGUUCGAUUAGCUAGUUGGCGGGGUAAAGGCCCACCAAGGCGACGAUCGAUAGCUGGUCUGAGAGGAUGAUCAGCCACACUGGAACUGAGACACGGUCCAGACUCCUACGGGAGGCAGCAGUAGGGAAUAUUGGACAAUGGGGGCAACCCUGAUCCAGCCAUGCCGCGUGAGUGAAGAAGGCCCUCGGGUUGUAAAGCUCUUUUGUCCGGAAAGAAAAGCAAUCGGUUAAUACCCGGUUGUCCUGACGGUACCGGAAGAAUAAGCACCGGCUAACUUCGCGCCAGC